GGGCGGUUAGCUCAGCUGGGAGAGCGCCUGCCUUACAAGCAGGAUGUCGGGGGUUCGAUCCCCUCACCGCCCACCA
RNAcentral lists this transfer RNA (76 nucleotides) under Candidatus Hippobium faecium. RNAcentral describes it as "tRNA-Val". It matches the Rfam family "tRNA". From Rfam's summary of the family: Transfer RNA (tRNA) molecules are approximately 80 nucleotides in length. Their secondary structure includes four short double-helical elements and three loops (D, anti-codon, and T loops). Further hydrogen bonds mediate the characteristic L-shaped molecular structure. tRNAs have two regions of fundamental functional importance: the anti-codon, which is responsible for specific mRNA codon recognition, and the 3' end, to which the tRNAs corresponding amino acid is attached (by aminoacyl-tRNA synthetases). tRNAs cope with the degeneracy of the genetic code in two manners: having more than one tRNA (with a specific anti-codon) for a particular amino acid; and 'wobble' base-pairing, i.e. permitting non-standard base-pairing at the 3rd anti-codon position. Lineage: Bacteria; Bacillati; Armatimonadota. The record is from RNAcentral.